UCCGAGUUGACCCCGGCAGUCUCCCAUGAGUCCCCGGCAUAACCCGCUGGCAACAUGGAACGAGGGUUGCGCUCGUUGCGGGACUUAACCCAACAUCUCACGACACGAGCUGACGACAGCCAUGCACCACCAGUGCACUGGCCCCGAAGGGCUGCCGCAUUUCUGCGACAUUCCAGUGCAUGUCAAGCCCUGGUAAGGUUCUUCGCGUUGCGUCGAAUUGAACCACAUGCUCCGCUGCUUGUGCGGGUCCCCGUCAAUUCCUUUGAGUUUUAGCCUUGCGGCCGUACUCCCCAGGCGGGGCACUUAAUGCGUUAGCUGCGGCACCCAGGGGGUCAAUACCCCGGACACCUAGUGCCCAUCGUUUACAGCGUGGACUAC
Molecule: unclassified non-coding RNA, 378 nt
Filed under: uncultured Actinomycetes bacterium
Lineage: Bacteria; Bacillati; Actinomycetota; Actinomycetes
Description: uncultured actinobacterium contains 16S-23S intergenic spacer region
Source: RNAcentral